UUUUUUUUGGCUCUCAAAACACUUACCAAUCCAAAAAAAAGUACACGCUUCUGAGUGAAAUUUAUAUUUUAAUCAGUUUGGUAAGUGUUUUGAGAGCCAAAAAAAAAAAUCUAUUGAAGUGGCUUCAGAUUCUUUACAACCCCUUUCAAUUGACAUUCUUUGUGAAAGGCUUUCUUGUGCAGAAACAGUAACACAUCCCGUACAUUUAGAAGAUCCUGCCCUGGUGCUGGUUUCCUGUUCUCAUCAUUGUACAAAACUCUUCAUAGUUGAUCCUACCAUCAUUAUCUGUGUCAACUUCAGAUAUUAU
This 307-nucleotide unclassified non-coding RNA is filed under the name Hevea brasiliensis (rubber tree). The record is from RNAcentral. Lineage: Eukaryota; Viridiplantae; Streptophyta; Magnoliopsida; Malpighiales; Euphorbiaceae.